RNAcentral lists this long non-coding RNA (2052 nucleotides) under Olea europaea subsp. europaea. The record is from RNAcentral. Lineage: Eukaryota; Viridiplantae; Streptophyta; Magnoliopsida; Lamiales; Oleaceae.
AAAGACUUUCUAAAGAUUCUCUUAUAUUAAUUCGUAUCCCUAAUUUCGACACACAGAGACUUUAAUAUCUUUAAAUAUUAUACUUUCUCAGCCUUAGAGAGGAAGAGAGAUGGCGAUUGGAAUAAUGGAGGUGAAGCUGGUGCGUGCUAAAGGUCUCAAACAGUCUUAUUUUCUAGGUAUGCGUGGCUCUGUGUAUGUGAUUCUAAUAUACAGAUGUGCUGUGAUGAGUUCAAUGAAUCAUGCAUUUCUUGAAUGUUGAGAAGAGAAAAAUCAUUAUUAAAUGAUUUGAGUUCUUUUUCUCAUAUUGAACCCAAAAAUAAUUUAUUAACAAGAUUUCCUUAAUCAACAUUUUUCUUCUUUAAUCAUAUUGAGUCUUUUUUAGGACUAAAACAUCUCAUCGAUGCAAUUGAAUUGGAUGAAUCAAUCCAAAAACUUUACUCUUCUUUAAUCAUAUUGAGCUUUUUUCGAUGUAACUUGUUGAACUUGGUUUCCUUGAUGAAACUACAUUCUUGUUCUUUCUUUCUUUUUCCUUUUUUUCUUCUCUCUCUCUUUUUUUUUUUCCUUUCCCUCUAUAAAAGGUUUAAUAUCAUAAAAGGUCCUCAUAUAAUGGCCAGUCAAUGUGAUUAUGCUUUACAUUGUAGUCUAUUGCAUGACAUAUAAAACAAUUGACAAAAUAUUUUGAUUCUUUAAUUACGAGAAAUUAUACACGCUUCAAAGUAUCAAAUGUGGAUCCUUUAUAGUAUUAUUUAUUUUUUACAACUUAUUCGUAUUCUAAUCCUAAUACCAUGAGAACUUUAAAAGAGACCGGUCAAUGUGAUUUUAAAUAGCUGAUAAUAUGUCAUAUACAUUAUUUUGUAGGUAAAAUAGAUCCAUACGUUUUGCUUCAAUACAGAAAUCAAGAGUACAAGAGCAGAAUUGCAAAAGGUAACAUUCCUCGCGCGAGUGCACAAUAAUUUGUUUUUUCAAGUUUCCUAAAUACACUACUUGUCAACAUAUUCAAAGAAUUUACUUGCUCUGACAAUGCUCCAACAAUAACAAAAAAAAAAAAAAAAUGACAUACUUUUUAGAGUCCAAUAUAAAAUAACUAAUGAGAUUUUAAUUUCUAUAAUCAUGUAGGGCAAGGUCGCAACCCAAUAUGGAAUGAGAAGUUUAAGUAUAUAGUCGAUUAUCCAGAGGAUGAUGAGCAGUACAAACUCGUGCUCAAGGUCAUGGAUCACGACAAGUACACUGCAGAUGAUUAUCUCGGCGAGGCAAAGUAGGACAAUAUGAUAUUUAUCAAAACAUCUCCUAUAUAAUUGCGUCUAAUCUUAUUCUAAUUAGUUUGGUAUAACUUAUCACAAUCUACAUGCAGGAUCUAUGUGAAAGAACUUAUAGAAUUAGGAGUGGAGAAAGGAAAGGCUAAACUUCGUCCUCGAAAAUACAGAGUUGUAUAUACCAACCUAACUUAUUGCGGAGAGAUUCAAGUUGGAAUUACUUUUACUGUAAAGGUAACGAUAUAAAAUAAUCCCUCAAACCUAAAGUGACCAAUAUUAUUAGAAUUGGAAAGUUACAAGAAAAAUAUAUAUAAUGGAACCUGAACAAACUAUAAGUUUCAGGCUUCUUUUAACAAAUUGAUACUGAUGUACAAUGUUAUUUGAUUACAGAAAGAAACCAUUGAAGGAGAUAUUUUUCGAAAAUCUUCACGAAGAUAUUUGGACGACGAAGAACGAACCACCAAAAGAAUCAAACUUUGGUAGCAAGAAGAAUAAGGAAGAAGAAAAAUAGCAAGAAGAAUAAGGAAGAAGAGAAAUACGUAUCGACUUAAUUUGGGAAUUUAAUGUUGUUGUACAAGCAUUCUUUUGCUCCCUCUUGUUGAAUCUGAAUUGCUUUAGGGACUCUAAACAAAUAAUUUUAGCUGAUUAUUCAGCCUUUAAUCUGGAUUACAAAAUAUACAAGGAUAUCCGGAGAAAGAACAAGAAAAGAAACUUUUUUAAAAAUGUGAGUUUAGGUUUUUGAAAUUUGUAUAAUUUGAUUCAAAGAUUUGGAAUAUUAAUUGUUGGAAAUCUACUUAUA